CCUCCACCCAGUAAAAAGAGCAUACAGUGUAUUGCCAUUGUUUGCACAGGUAAAGCAGAAUUAUGGGUGAUUAAUGAUAAGAGCAACUCAACCUACAUCCAAAGGAGCCAUGUAGGAUAAAGUCAAAAUAAAUCUUAAUAAUAAAUUUAUUCCCUAUGUACUAAUUUUUAAGAAUGUUUACGAAAAAUAUGUUUAGUUCAAAUAUCUAAGUGCAGAACUAAGUUCAAGUAGAUUACAAACUCAAUCUACUUGAACUUCUUAUAACAAAAAUAUAAUAAAUAAUAUAAAUCCAGAAAGGAAAGGUACCUGUUCCGAAAUAAGAAGCACUGACUUCGAAGCAAGCUUGGAGAGUGAUUUCAACAUCUCAACCAUGAAUUCUUCUUGGGAAGAGUUCAGCACAAGCUUUCUACCUGUCUGCAACAAAACAACAGUCAAUAACGUAAGCAUAGCCAGAAAAGAUGCAAACAUGUCCACACUCUGGUAACUCAAAAGCCCUCUUCUAUUUUUAAUGCAUCUAUCUCAUCACUAAGUUCCUUUUAAGUAAGAUUUCUUCUUGUCCACCUACCCUAGCCUUUUAUAAAAAAUCUCUUCCAGAGUGUAUCUCUCUGAAGGAGGGACUUGCAUUGUAGGAGGAGGCAAGAAGCACAAUGUCUCCAAUUCGAUAGAAAGGAAAUACAAAGACAGAAAGACCCAACCACCCAAGUCUUCUAAAUAACUCAUCAAAAAGUAUACAAAAAUCGGCGACAACUUGUCUUGAAAAGCAAUUAUAAGAGAAAUAUUAAAAUAGGAGACUGAGGAUAUAGAGAAGGAUUUUUCAGGCGAGGACAAGAAAUACUAUUAGUAUAGAAUCAAGGUAAACAUAUACAUUCAUCGAACGGAAUUAGACAUUUGGACAGAGAAAGAAUUUAAUGUUCUUUGGGGUUUAAAUAUUUCUCUAAUCUUCAUAUAAUCACAACAAAGCAUCUCAUUACGAGUGUGGUUUAAAAUAGGUCAGACCAUUUACCACCGAUUGUAAGGUUAGAUCUCUUCAAUCUCUACAACCCACCACACACCACAAGCACUUUAGAAUGAUAUCAUAUGAUGCUUGUAGUUUUCUGGUAAGUUGUAUAGGUUACAAAAAUCAACCUCCACAACUGGUGGUAGAUGUUCCAGUCUCAAAUAGUACAUAUAUCAUCCAAGACACUUCAAUCCUAGUUGACAUAAUUCAUGAGAUAAAGGUGCCCAUGAUGAUAAAUCCAUCCACAGACUAAUAGACUGAAAUAGAAAACCUGCAGCACCUUGUAUGCUCGGGUUGCAAGUGUCAAUGAAUAUCCCAGUUUAGCAAAAGCUUUCGCACAUGCUCGCUUGACAGUAAUGGAAAGCUUCGAUGAGGUCAUCAUGUUAAUAAGCACCUCCAAGAAAACAUACGCAAAAUCCUCCGACAACUCUGAAAAGCACCCUGCAGUAAAAAGUGAUGCCUUUACCUGCUAGAAGUCAAAUGGAUGUGGAGCAGUUCUCUGUCAAUAUUGGCCACAGAUUAGAAUGAUUCAAAUAGAUUGAAAAUUCUAAUGGGUGUCAGCUCAAAACAAACUAACAGAUGAUAUAAAUGCAGAUAAGUAUGCAUGUUCAACGCAUAUAAAGAAGAGUGGUGUCAAGUGUCAACUAAACACAAAACGUUGCAAUAUCAGACAUCUUGUACUUUACAACUAACAACUAGCAUCUCUAAUCAUUCUAAAGAGCAUUGUGGUAUUUACGACUAUCAACAAAAUAAGUCCGCAACUGCAUCUCAUAUUUUCAAAUUUUCAUCCCUUCAAAUGCUCCCCAUCACAUAAAUUCCAGAUUCAACAUUUAGUACAUGCUUACAUAAUAACAUAGAAUACAAAAUAUCAACAUUUAUUGUCCAUAAGUUGUUCUCCAUUCUUAGAAACCUAUAGUCAAAAUCUUAUUCUAUCAAAGUCGUGACUUUACCUACUAAAUUUGUUUCUUAAUCAUUUGUCUUCUAUAUAUAUUAUCUUUUUUCCCCUACAUCUUAAUCAAAAUUUCCAUUCAUGUUCAGGGACUAAAUCUUUCAACAAUGAGUCAAUGAUAAAUUUGUUUGCAAGAGAAGGAUAAUACAACGCACCUCUGUAACAUUGCACGAGCCUAAGCUAGAUAAAAUCAUGUGACGUAUUUCAGCACUAUCACUUGCAAUAUCAGACCAACAUCCAAGUAGCCGUAAACUUAUUGAUUUAUAAUCAGAAUCUCCUUUAUCAUAAACAAUCUUUACCCUUUUAAGAAGUUCAACAUAAUUUGGUACCCUUUUCUUUGCCAAAAUUCCAUUAUAUUGUUUACCCUUCUUACGUUUCUUUCUCUCUAAAAGAAAAGCUUUUAGAAUACAAAACCUUGUUUGUUUAUCUCCACAUUUAAAUGCAUCUGCAAGUCGAAGAAGGAUAGUAUUUGCAAACAAUCUAUCUUCCCCAGGAAUUAAACCAAAUAUGUUGAAUAUCGCCAUUGUAGAAAUGGGUUCUUUACUCCAUUGCUCAAGUCUUGAACCAAUUUGUGAUAGAGCUUCAAUAGCUUGACCUGAAACAAUAAAGAAAAAUUCCUAACAACUACAAUUUAUACAACCUCAACAAGUGCAAUUUGAAGAAAAUUGAAGCGGCAUGCUUACCAGGUUUAUUUGAUCGAAGGCCUUUUUCAAGUUCAAUGCUCCAUUCCAUUGCACAAGCUGCAGAGUUCUUCUCCAUAUUUUUCUUCUCUUUGAGUGAUUUCUUCAAACAAUUCUUUAGCGAUAAUUUCAAAAUGGUAUUACUGUUGGAGCUUGAUUCCUACCGACUUGUUUUCUUAAUAAGGGCACAAUGAAUGCGGCUAUUUGCAGACCGCAUUAGUUGUUAUCUGCACCCACGAAAUAUUCAAAUAUUUUAGUACUGUAUGUGUGAUGAAAUUCCAGUCCGAUUCAAGUAUCAGAUUUAUCCAAAUUUAUUGGUUUUGGUUAUCAGGUUAUGAUAUAAAUCCUGUUAACCAAAAGUAUUCCUGACAGCCAUAUGGGCAUUCCCGAAUCAAUGUGCGCAUGGGCUGAUAGGCAUAGCAAAGCUGAAAUGCUGUGUAGUAGGCUAGUAGCUAUGAGCUCAUCGACACACCUUGGGCAAGUAUUGAGGUUGAUGUUUAAAAUUUAACGUUUGCAUGGUCUGUAGUCUGUACUAUUGAAUACUGAUCGAGUAACACAAACUGAAACUUGAACAAACCGAUCUACUAAACAAUAUACUGUCAUUUUUAGAUAUAGAAGACUGAAAGUUGUGCAGUUGAUGAAAAUAGUCUUAUAUGUUUGCUCAAGUUAAUAGCUGAGUUUCCUUCUUUCUUUCUUCUUGAGAAUUUGGUUAAACAAGAACACGCACAUUCAGACAAAAACACAGAAAAUAAGGAACCCCAAACUUUUGUUACAUAGCUUCAUUGUUAUUUUUGUUCAUGACUACAUGAUGAUAAUAGAAAAGGUUGAGAUGCACAACAGCAGGGUAGUUCAUGUCAGAGUUUUGUUUGACAAGUCUCUCAAUCGCACAAGGAAAACUAUCAGCCACGAACCAAAGUAACACUAGAUAAUCUCUAGGUGCACCUUUUAACAGACAAUAACUCGUCUAUUAAGAUUACUGUCUCUCUUUCUUGAGGCCAUUUUGAAAAGAAAAUGGGGCCUGCUGAAAUCCAUUCAAGCCACCUUCAAUUGUUUAGUCCCCUAGGUUAACAAGUAUUUCAGAGACAAACUUUAUCAAUGAGCAGAGUCCCCCCAGGAAGUUAUGGUCAAUGACACCUUCACCGUCUGUGACGUGAGCAAAAUCAAUAAGCUUCACUUCUGCCCGUGACAUCCCUGUCUCAGCUCCCGCCUUCUCAUACAUCACAAGGACAGAACAAGAAUUGAAGUGAUAAAUGGUUUGAUCUUCAAACCACGCUUUUAACUCCAACAAUUGUGCCAAAAUCCCAUCAGAACCUCCAUAAACAACAGAUGCAAAUGAACCAUCCGGUUUUGCAUCAGCUAAAGGGUUAGAAGAUACAAACCUCUUAAGAGAUGACCGAACAUCCUCCACAUCAUAACUUGAGACAACCUUCUUCGCAGGCUUCCAAAAUCCUGAUUCCUCGCUUUCAUAUGCUUGUAAACCAGAUAUUCUGAAACCCAAUUUUAAACUUGUGCCUUCUCUAUCUUUUUUGAGACAUUUUUUAAUAUAUUCCUCAGAUGCUUGAGGGUACCAGGUUCUGGAUCCAAUCUUGAUGUCCAUCACAGAUGGAUGUACGUGAGUGGAGACGAGGUCUUCCAAAAUAAGGUGGGGAUGUAGACCAGACCCAUCGGAAGCCUCUAGAAGCUGAGUACCGUGGAAAAGCGGGAAGUACCGACGGAUUUGAUCUGGAAUUUUAGUAUUAGAGGAGAAGGAAGUGUAGAAGGCCGCCUCUCUUGAUCCACGUUCAUCAUUCUGGAGGGGCUUACAGAAACGACCCGAAUCAUCAAUAAGUGGACCAAGCUUUCCGUCGCCUGCUUGGUGGCCUGCAACCUGAUGAUCUGGGAUCUUAAGCAUGUCGAGGUAAUUAUACCAACAAUAACAACAAUUUUUCUUCAAGCCAAGUCCAGAGAUUCUAGCCCUGAAACAUAGAAUAAGAAGUUCACUUAUUAUCACUACACUGUAGAGGAGGUACGAACAUGGAGCUGGCUUAACAUAAGCAAGAAAUCUAUGGAGCUCAGACAGAACAUCUAUGGUUGGAGAUAUGUGAUGUAAUCAGAUGACUGGAAUCAUACAGGAAACGAUUGCAGGGUCUGUAGACUUGUAGGGAGAACCUGGCAAGGACUGAAGAAGGUGCAGAAGUGCAUCAAAUGCGACAGAAAACAGUUGAAGCACCAGCUUCUUCUGUGAUCAUUUACUGUAUGUAUGUGCAAUUUACUGAACUUAGGGGCUGUGUUAGGAAUGCUAUGUAUGAAGAGGUUUGCCCUCUAAAUUCAAACUGACGGUGCAAUUUCUGCACGCUGACAGUAUGUAACUUUGUUUUGAUUGAAUAUAAAUACUACUCUUACCAAAAAAAAAAAAAAAAUUGUUUAUGUAUUAAACUUAAUAACUUGAUUAUACUUACUUUUUUUUUUGUUGUUGCAACUAAAUUUUUAUUGCUUAAAUAAAACGUUGAUAGAUUAUACUUACUUCUAAGCUAACAAUAAGGAAGUUGUACAAAUUGUCAGAUAAAGUUCUUCAAUAUCCACAGGAAGAACCUGCAAUAAAAAAGCUACUGAUCACAACUGGAAAAUACCUUGUACCAUUUAAUUUGUAGACAUAAUAAUAGUUUGGUACCAUUUAAAAUUUCUUAACAGCCAACAUGUUAUCAUACUACACAGAAUAUAUUUCAAUUGAAAUCGAUGUAUCAUAAAAAAUAAAGAAUAUAUAUUAUACUACUAAUUAAAAAACCUAAAUUAUUAUUGUUCAGACUUCAGACCAAGCUUUACAAAACAUUUUUAUGAUUCAAAAGUCUUAGUCCAAAAUAUACUACUAAAAAUUAAAAACAGUUUUCAUUAACUAAACCUUACAAAAAGAAUGAAUAUAUGAAAUUGUCAUCUUCUUCAGCAAUAUAUAUAUACCUAAGCAUGAAACAUUUGGACAGAACAUCACAGUAUAUUCUGAGGAAUUAAAAACACUCAAAUCAACAUGAUGAAGAAGAACAUAAUGUUGAUGAAAGCAUGGUAAAACAUAACUAAUUAUCACAAAAUUUCUAAAGACAAAAGUAGAAUUUGAAAUUACAUUUGAUCUGCAGCUUAAGUUCAUCCCCCAACAAUCAUCAAUUACAAUUAAAACCACAAAUUUGGAGCCAAAAUUAACAAAAAAAAACAAACCGAAUUUAACUAUCUAUUUUUUGCAAUUACACAAGCGAUGUGUGUGUGUGAGACUGUGUGUGUGUGAGAGAGAGAGAGCUGUUAGUUGACAUUGAGAUUGAGAUUUGAGAGAGAUACCUAAGUGAUCAUUGAAUCCAUUAAGGGAAGAGGUGUGUGUGUUGUAGACUACCAUGCACUGGUUGCUUGUUGAUUCUUAGAUCAAAGGAGAUAAAUACUUCUUUCUGCAAUCUUGGUUUAGUAAAGAAGGGCGGAAGGAAGAAGAGAAGGAAGAAGAGGAUGAGAUACGGAUUGGAAAAUUUUCUGGAAUCAAAUACUAGUAGUGAAGUGAGUGGACUACUGGACUCUGUCUCUGGCUGGGACCUUCACGCAACAGCGAAUAUGUUAGUAGGAAGUUGCUACUAGCAACUAGCACGUCACAUGUAGUCUACUUGCCCACUUGAUGGCAUAUUGGGCUCAGAGCUUUGGCUUGAACCAAAAACCAUUGGACAUGAGCAUGAUUCUUAAAUUUGUAGUUCCCCACAGUUCAAGGUGAAUAAUCAUCAUUUUGUUUUAUAGAAAAUUUAUUAUAAAAAAAUUUGUAGCUUGUGUAAUCCGUUUUCUUUUAUCAAUAAAAAAAAAAAAAAUUCUUCUUUUUCUUCUCAUGGUAAUUUGUAUUAGAGAAUGGUAGAAGGUCAAUAUACACAAGGUGGACUUGAUUACCCCUCAGACAGUCAGACCUCCUCCUCAUCUCCAUUAAUGAUUUCUAAGUAAAUACUUUUCUCUGUCUGAAUCAACCAUUUCUAACUACAAAUUUGAAACCCUUUCCGAAUUAAACAAAUAAGUUCUAAAUCUGUAUGUAUAUUAAAUAUAAAUUCCAUUCACUCCAAUGUCUCAAUCUAUAUCCCUCGUCGAUCCUUUUUUUAAGAAAGAUGUGAUACAUAAUCUCAGAUAAACAGGUCUAUCUAUGUGCUAUAUAUAUAUACGUACAGCUCAAGUCACUACAGUUGCACCCAGUGGUGGAUCCAAAGGGGGCUGUGGGGGCUAGGGGUGGGCAAAAAAACCGAACCGAACCGAAAAAACCGAGUCAAAACCGGUCAAAACCGAGUUGACUAAAAACCGGUCAAGAUUGGACCGAAACCGAACCGAACUAUAUAGCUAUUGGUCCGGUCUCGGUUCUUGUUUUUAUAGAACCGAGAGAACCGAACCGAACCGAAAUAAAUAAAUUUUUUUUUUUUUAAUUACUAAAUUACUAAAUUAGACCUAAGAAAGUAAGAAGUACAAAACCUAACUUUCUUCUUCCUCUUCUGAGUCUUCUCCAUCUCAAUCCGCCCCCUUUUCAUUCCUCUUCUCCAACUACUUUUUGCUGAUCUUAUGACAAUCUUCUCCCCAAAACCAAAACCCUCCCAUCGCUUUGAGUCGAUCGAAGUCUCUCUCUCUCUCUCUCUCUCUCUCUCUCUUCAUUUGCUCUUGAUGUUCUAAGAAUUCUCUAUAGCAAUUAAAUGGCAUCUGCCUUUCUUUCAAGAUCACUUGUUGGACUUCUUCGUUCUUCUUCAACUUCUUUCACUCAAAAGUCUCA
This 7367-nucleotide long non-coding RNA is filed under the name Aquilegia coerulea. Its description in RNAcentral is "long non-coding RNA (ACOE_LNC000190)". Lineage: Eukaryota; Viridiplantae; Streptophyta; Magnoliopsida; Ranunculales; Ranunculaceae. The record is from RNAcentral.